RNAcentral lists this ribosomal RNA (619 nucleotides) under Pseudomonas panipatensis. RNAcentral describes it as "bacterial SSU rRNA". It matches the Rfam family "Bacterial small subunit ribosomal RNA", at positions 104 to 719 of the family's 1533-position model. Lineage: Bacteria; Pseudomonadati; Pseudomonadota; Gammaproteobacteria; Pseudomonadales; Pseudomonadaceae. The record is from RNAcentral.
GGGUGAGUAAUGCCUAGGAAUCUGCCUGGUAGUGGGGGACAACGUUUCGAAAGGAACGCUAAUACCGCAUACGUCCUACGGGAGAAAGUGGGGGAUCUUCGGACCUCACGCUAUCAGAUGAGCCUAGGUCGGAUUAGCUAGUUGGUGGGGUAAAGGCCUACCAAGGCGACGAUCCGUAACUGGUCUGAGAGGAUGAUCAGUCACACUGGAACUGAGACACGGUCCAGACUCCUACGGGAGGCAGCAGUGGGGAAUAUUGGACAAUGGGCGAAAGCCUGAUCCAGCCAUGCCGCGUGUGUGAAGAAGGUCUUCGGAUUGUAAAGCACUUUAAGUUGGGAGGAAGGGCAGUAAGUUAAUACCUUGCUGUUUUGACGUUACCAACAGAAUAAGCACCGGCUAACUUCGUGCCAGCAGCCGCGGUAAUACGAAGGGUGCAAGCGUUAAUCGGAAUUACUGGGCGUAAAGCGCGCGUAGGUGGUUUGGUAAGAUGGAUGUGAAAUCCCCGGGCUCAACCUGGGAACUGCAUCCAUAACUGCCUGACUAGAGUACGGUAGAGGGUGGUGGAAUUUCCUGUGUAGCGGUGAAAUGCGUAGAUAUAGGAAGGAACACCAGUGGCGAA